GAAGACGACACCUACGAGCGGCCAUUUUGUCCCCCGCUCGGCGUCAGGGACCACCACAAAGGCUGAGGCUGACCAUGGCGACGCUGCUCCUGAUCUGGACCUCACUGCUGAUCGGACGCUCUCUCCAAGACUCUCUGCGUCUGAGCCCGGACCAGUCGCAGUUUUCCCAGGGUUCUUCGCUGAAUUUAAGAUGUGACGAUGGGGGUUCAGUGUGUGGAGGCAGAGCCGGGGCAGCAGAGGGCGCUGUGACAAGGACUGGGGCAUUCUCUCGGCCCAUAUUGCAGAGUGCAACAUUUGCAGUUGAAGGACAGCGGGCAGUACUGGUGCGAGUCACCAGAGGGCGCCACCUCUGAGCCCGCCACCUCUGAGCCCAUCAACAUCACGGUCGUAGACAGGGGCGUGGUGCUGCAGGCUCCUGUUGGUCCCGUGACUCCUGGAAAGUCGGUCUCUCUCACCUGUCGACAUCUCACUGACUCCGCCCUCUCAGCUCGUUUCUAUAGAGACGGGAACUUCCUGUCAGAGCAGCCCAAACGUGUCCUCACCAUCCAGCAGGUGGCGCCGUCUGAUGAAGGCCAGUACCGGUGUGAGAUCAAAGGGGUGCGCUCUGUGGCCGCUGGACUCCGUGUCCUCCCAGUGAAAACCACGCCCUCCACGACUCCUGCACCGACCACUGCGACCACAGCGUCCCGUCCUGGCUCCAACGCCGCCCCUCACUCCCCCACCUCGUGGUCCCGGUCGUGGCCUCCGUCGUGGGGCUGGUGCUGCUCCUCCUCCUGGUCCUCGUGGUUCUCCUCGUCAGACGCUGCAGGCGCAAGAAAACCAAAGGUUCCAGAGGGACGAGACGCCGAAGAAAGAGGCCGAGGACCGAGGCGAACAGCGGGAACCAACGCGGGCCCAAAACAUGUCCAAACUGUCAGAACUCUGGCGCGCCGCUCCAGCCGUUCUCCCGGUGAGGACACUCCACUAUGGGCCUGAGGCGGACUUCAGAAAGGAUUCGCUCAAUGGAAAUGUCUGCACGUCGACAGAAUGAACUUGUUUUUUUUUCUUAAGCAAAUGUAAAUAGUCAAUCUGUUAUUUUUUUUCAAUAUUAUUUUAUAUUCUACCUUUUGGUCUGUGAAAUGUUUGACACCGAACACUUUAUAAACAUCUUAAAG
Molecule: long non-coding RNA, 1154 nt
Filed under: Neogobius melanostomus (round goby)
Lineage: Eukaryota; Metazoa; Chordata; Actinopteri; Gobiiformes; Gobiidae
Description: lncRNA (ENSNMLG00000003627.1)
Source: RNAcentral